AUUAUGAGCCUGUGUUUUGCUUGUGUCUCGACAGAUGUGGAUGGCAAGUGGAACUUUAAGCCUAUUAGGUUAAUCAUGCCCUAGCCAGUCAGCACUCACAGUGUGUGCCAAUAUAGAAGUUCUCAGCGCUUACUAUCUUGGGAAGCGGAUUAUUUUUGCAUGUGCUUAUGCUUUUAAUUCUGUUCAGAUGCCUGCCAUAUGAAACCUAGAGAAAUUAGCUGUGAUUGUGAAAGCCUCUGGAAGAGACGCAUUUGUCGAUGAGAAGACAAGGCUUGAGAAUUACAGACUCCAGAAGAAAUGUGACCUUCACAGCUUAACAAGGGCAAACCGAUGGAGUGUGCUCCAAUCUGUUAUCAAGAGGACCCUGAACAUGCAAUGGACAACAACCAAGCUGUGCAUUGUUGUCUUUGAGGCUUGUAAAACCCUGUGGCCAUAGUGAUGGACAUCUUUAAAUAGUAGGGAAGUGAACGAACAAGAGACGAUUGCUUUCCUCUGUAUUAGCACAUUGAGUUAGAUUGCAGGAAAGCCAUCCUUCCUGGCUUGGAGGGAGAGGACAGGGAAACUUACUGCCAGAUAAAGUAUAAAGUCAGUCGCUAUGGACCACGGAGACUCAGGGGCCAAUGCUCUCCUGGGAAGAGACUUUUUGUUAGAUUUUUCUCAUGAGAAAACAAGCAACACCCUGGCAGUGGAGAGUCAUUCAGUCAUUAGGAGUAGGACUCAAGGGGGAAAAUGUGUUUCUGUCUGCAAGCACAUCUUUCUGUUCAGUCUGAGCGGAGUGCCCUUGGCAAGGGUAUCAGCUUAAAAUUCUUUUUAUAAACCUCAUUUGCUGUCAGUAAAGUCUAGAGCAAGAAUUCAGAGAAGGGAGAUUUGGGUUUGGAAUGUGACUCCUUAUGCUUUGAGUUGGAGAACUUUGCUGAAUCAGAGAUCAUCUUUAAAAUGGGGACCGUGGUGCUUACUUUACUGAGCUCUUGUGGGGAUCAGCGCUUGGAUAAGUUUCUUACCACAUGCCUGGACAGGGGUUUACAUCUUAAAUGUUCCCCCAAAGCCUCAUGUGUUUGGAAGCUGAUUGGAUCGUACGGGUGCUACAUCCAUCAACGGAUUCAUCUAUCUAUCAGCUCCGUUGCUGAAUGUGCUGUUAGGAGCUGUUUCUCCUCUGCCAUGCUGCUCUGCCUUGGACCAGCAGACUACGGUGAAACCUCUUCAAACUAUGAACCACAAUAAAUAUUUCCUCCUUUACGUUGCGGUGUCAGGUAUUAUGUCUCAGCAAUGAGAAAGCAACCAAGGCAAUCAUUCUCCAGGGGAAAAAAUUAGAUUCUACCUUUAAAAGUUACUUUAAAAGAGAUCUGGCCUUAUCACAAGUCAAGCAGUGACAUCUAUAUCAUUGCGUAUAGUAAAUAUUAGCUUAUUUAGGUGCCACUCCCUGCUGUUCAGUGCAUUGAAAAUCUCUACUCCAUUUUGGUUCAUGUGGUCCUGCACCGAAUUUAUCAGCAAGAGAUAGUUCCAUUUUAACCAUUUUAGUGGUACCAAUUUUGGCCAAGUCUGAAUAUCAUUCAAACAUUGUCUACCUGAUGGCGCAUGCCUGUAAUCCCAGCAUUUGGAAGGCUGAGGCAGGAGGAUCAUUGUGAGUUCAAGACCAGCCUGAGCUACAAAGUGAGCUCAAGGCCAGCCUGAACUGUAUAGGGAGACCCUGUCUCAAAAAGAUAAAAAAGGAAACAAAAAAAAAAUCAAAAACCAAAAAACACUGUCUAGAAUUUUAUACAGUGAAAUCAUAUAGCAUUUAAUGUUUUGGUUAACUCUUUUCCUCAAUAUAGUUAAUAUUGAGAGUCAUGUCACUUUGUAUAUAUUAAUAAUUCAUACCUUUUUAUUGCUGAGUAAUAUCAUGAGCACUUUUUUGGUGUUCUCAGUAGCAUUAUUUUUUUAUUUUAAACAGGAAAAACAAUAAAAACAAAGUUACAAAAUUUCAAGACAACAUAUUAGUAGCACUAAAGACGAAGACAACCCAAGUGUUUAUCAACUAGUGGUUAUCUAAAGGUGGUAAAUACAUUUAAAUGGAAUAUUAUUCAACCAUUAAAGGAUGUUAAACACUGAUAUGUGCUAUAACACUAUGCCUAUACUUAAUGCCAGUGAAUUGUACACUUUAAAAUGGUUAAAAAGAUGAAUUUUAUGUCAUAUUAUUUUAACAUGGUAGUAGUAAUAUACGCCAUAUAGAAAACACAGAUAAACUUAAAGUAAAACAAAAAUCUGUCAUCUGUAUUUGUCUGUCCUAGCUCUUUCUGACUCAAUACAGUUUGCUCUACAUGCAAUUUGUAACCUAGUUUAAUAUGUCAUAAAUUGAUGUUUGUAUCAUCAAAUAUGCUUUACAGAACUUUAAUGGCUACAAUAUUCCAUUGAGCUAAAGAAAGACAUUUUAUUUGGUCAGAUUCUUAUUACCGAACAGUUAAGUUAAAUGUAUUGUAAAGAGUACUGAAAUAUCUCUGUAGGUAAAUCCUUGCCAUGUUUGGGACUAUUUUCUAAGGAUAAACUCUGGGAUGUGAACUUGCUUAGCUAAAUAAAGCAAAUAUUAAAGAAAAUUGAUAGACUUAAUUUUUUAAGAAUAGUUCUAGAUUUAAAAAAAAAUGGAGCCCAGAAUUACCAUAUACCUUUCUCUCUUACAAUGUUUCCCUUAUAAUUCACAUCUUAGGUUACUAUGGUGCUUUUGUGAUAAUUUUGUCAUUUUGUUUUGUGGCGCUGGGGUUGAACCCAGGGCCUUCAUAUGAGCCACAUCCCCAGAUCUUUUUUUAUUUUGAGGCAGGGUCUCACUAAGUCUACAGGAUGCUCAGGGGGGGCUCUCACUUGGGAUCCUCCCAGCCCAGAUGCUGGAGUAAUAAUGCAUCAGUACUGACACACAGUCAUUUACUGAAGCCAGCACUUCGGUCAGACUUCCUGAGUGUUUAUCUGUGUCCGCUUUGUUCCAGGAUCCCACCCAGGACACCUUUCAUGGCCAGAUCUCCUGAGGCUGCUCCCAGUGAGGACGGUUUCCCAGGCUUUACAUUUUGACGACCCGGAGGUUUGAGGUGUACAGUCAAGUGUACCAUAGGGUACUCCUCCCCUGAGAUUCGUCUGACAUUUUUCUCAUGUCUAAUCUGGGGUGUAUACUGGGGGAGGAAGACAUGGAGGCCGUGGGCCAGUUUCAUCACAUCUCCUCAAGGGCACGUAUUGCCAGCCUGGUUUACAGUUGUUGGUAUCGACCUUGGUCACCGAGCUGCAGUCACGUGUGUCCUGAUUUGCCGUUUGCAGUCCCUCUGCCCCACUUCCCAAUCCUGUCCUCUGAAGGUGAAGCCGAUGUAAAAGUGCCAAACAUCAGUGCUUUUAAAGCUUCCGCUACAGACUGUGACGUUACUUUCCAGAAAGAUCAUGUUAGUUUUUAUUCCCAAUAGUGGUAUAAACAUUCACUUUAUUGCAAGCUUGUCAGCCUUAGCCAUUAGCUUUUAGAAGCCUUCGCUAAGCCUGGUUGGUAAUACACAUCCAUCAUCCCAGGGCUUGGAGGCUGAGGCAGGAGUAUCAGGAGUUCAAGGCCAGCCUGGGGUACACAGGAAGACAGGGUCUAGAAAACAACAAAUAAAUAAAUGUCUGCUGAUUUGAAAGAGGAAAAAAUGGCAUUUCAUGUUAAUUUGCAUUUACUGGUUUAUUAUUUUUUUCAUUUACUGGUUUAUUAAGAGUUUGUAUUUUUUGGUAAGAAAUAUGUGAUGGUCAUUUGUGUAUUUUCUUUCAGAGAUUCCCUACACAUAUCCUUGGUUCAUUUUUUAAAAUUAGGAUGCUUAUCUGUAUUUUGCUGAUUUUCAGAAUGAUAACAUUUCGUUCAAUACUUGUACUACUAGCCUGGUAAAAAGAAGUUUUCCUUUUGCCUUUAAAUUUUAUAUUGUGAAACAGAAUUUUCAUUUUAUAUCAUUGGCUCAUCAGUCUUUAUAAUUUCUAUCUUUAGUAUCAUGUUUAGCAAGUCUGAAUUUAUAUAUGCAUAUGUCUAUAUUUAUUUACUUAUUCCUCUUGAGGCAGGGUCUCACUCUGUAGUUCAGGCUGGUCUUGAACUCACUACAUAGCUCAGGCUGGACUUGAACUCAUGGCAAUCCUCCUGCCUCAGCCUCCCAAGUGCUGGGAUUACAGGUGUGUGCCACCACGCUUGGCUAAAUUUACAUUUUGUAGAAUAUUUGAAUCAGCUUAUACUGAGAAAGUAAUUGUUUAAAGUUGGGAUACAAUACAGGAGGCCUUGGUCUGACUGGCGCUUGGACCAAGAACCAAGAUACCAAGAUACAGAACUGGAUACCUUUCAAUAUGAAUAACAGUAAACCAUGACCUCUUAAAGAAUUCUGGGAUUUUUUUUAAAUGUUUAUGAGAGUCUCAAAAGUGGAACUGAACUGAAUGACACACAACACUAAGUUCUUGAGCAAAACAAAGCAAAGCAAAUGGUGGACAACCUCAGUAGGCAUUUGAAGAUGUGUGUGUGUGCACCGAGUGAGAGCUGUGCCUCGGAGCCAUGGCUGUGACAUAAUGAGAUACGUGUUUUCACCACCUGUAUCAGUUUGCUACGGCUGCUGUGACAAAAACCCAGAGGCCAGGCUGUUCAGAGACAGAGAUUUAUGUCUUCACAGUUCCGGGAAUCUGAGAUCAAGAUGGUGGCCAUGUUGACUUCUUCUGAGGUUCACUCCUUGAGUUGUAGAUAGUUGUCCUCUCCCUGUGACCUCCCAUGGCUGUCCCUUUGUGUGGCCAUGUGUUUCAGGAUGGGAAGGAAGGGAGGAGUAACUUUUCAGGACCAACUCUUCUUGGAAGGACACCAAUCACAUGGGGGCACUUUGGACACAGUCAUCUCCUGAUAUGAUUUUCCAUCUCCAUGUGCUCAUCAGAUUCCCUCUGUGUCGCCUGGGCACAUUUCCAUACAGUCCUGGAAGCCACCGUUUUGGGUAGAGGCACCAGAAUCAAAGUUCCUGGAACUUUGACUUUGAAAACAAAAGGGUCCACUUGGAUAGAGAAGGCCUAGAAGGGGAUGGGACAGCUAGGAGAGUUGGGGUGGAGAAGAGUUUGGGGAGAAGCCACAGGGUCCCAUGUGAAUGUGGGGCUCUCUGUGCCCCACCUCUGACCUCAGGCCUCAUCUAUAGGGGCCUGGGAAGAUGAGGUGCGUGUGCCUCCAUCCCUGACCGCAGCCUGAAGCUGGGAAAGGGCAGGCUGGUAAGCUUGGGAAGAGAUGUACCCUGUCACCUAAUGUGGCCAAGUGGGAAUCAUGGCUAGGUACAAACGAGGGGAGGUUGUCUACCCCAGCUUCCCACAGGUCAUCACGGAAUGGGAGGCCUUUCACACCAGAAGGGUUCCACGCAGGACAAAAUUUUGCAAGGAAAGAGCACCAGGGAAUCUGCCAAGAAUGAGGUGUGAAUACAGAGCUCUGCUGACCACGAGGUCAUCCUGGUCACCUGAUGAACACAAGGAGACAGAAAACCAGAUGAUACAGUGAUCUCCAGAGCCAGAUAGAACGAGAUUAUCUCCAAGGAGGAUAAUCAUCAGAUAACACUUGAGGAGUUCAGAUUCAUUUCUGGGAAAGACAAGACAAGAGAGACAGGCAGAAAGAGGGAGUGAGAGAGGGACAAGGAGAGAGGAAAAGAGAGAGAGAGACAGAGAGAGACAGACAGACAGAGACAGAGAGGGAGAGACAGAGAAUUUUAUAUUCAGUUGUGACUGAAUUAUAAACUUGACUAAGACAUGACUGAAUCUAAGUGAGUUUAUCUGAAAUGACUAGAUUAAAUUUUCUCUGCAUUGAGGCAGAAUGGAGGCUCAAGGCAAAAAUUACACUCAAUUAUAGGAGAAUAGAGAAAAUUGCAUUUUUGCACACUCAAGUCAGUGACUGUGAAAUUUGUACUGGCUCCAACAAUUACAGGCAGCCAGGUGUCAGUAAAAUCUCAAGAACAGAACAAGGAAUCAUUAUGUGCUGUUCUCUCAAGUUAUUACCCGACCUCACCAAUUGCUCAAAAGGCCAGCACAGUGCUUUAUCAUCAGAAAUCAUGAUUAAACUCACUCAAGCUUUUAUUCAUAAUGUUCCCUUUAUAGAAGAAUGCAUAGCCAAGUCUUGUGAGGUAGAAAAAUGUUUUUCGGAGACCUGAGGCGGCCCAGUUCAGAUGGUAAUCCCUAAAGUCUCAGGUAGGGCUGGAUAGCUCCUUUUGCCCCAAUAGAUCUUCUCUGCACACUUGUGUCCCUAUGCCCUUGGAAGCAGAUUCCUAGGGCAUCACUAGGGCUGCUCUCCUUGGGGUGCAUUGACAGGAAGGAGCUCAUAGGAAGGGAGAAGACCGAGUUGGGAUAUUAGCUCCCCAUCUUCCCAUCCUGGUCUCCAUAGGCUGGCUGCAGCCCUCUCCGUAUGGCUGUCUUCUCCGGGUUCCAACAUCCAGUCUUUGUUUUCAGGCCAGGGUAGUAAUGUGCCGUGCAAGGGUGUGCUCUUUUCUUUGGAAGGCCUCCAAAGACUUUACUCACACCCUUAAAAAUGAUCAUCUCUAUUAAACAGCUCUCUAAUUCUU
Cavia porcellus (domestic guinea pig) is the source of this 6530-nucleotide long non-coding RNA. RefSeq lists it as uncharacterized. Lineage: Eukaryota; Metazoa; Chordata; Mammalia; Rodentia; Caviidae. The record is from RefSeq and is a predicted model, not a curated record. The transcript is spliced from 3 exons.